RNAcentral lists this long non-coding RNA (31493 nucleotides) under Medicago truncatula (barrel medic). RNAcentral describes it as "long non-coding RNA (MTRU_LNC000186)". Lineage: Eukaryota; Viridiplantae; Streptophyta; Magnoliopsida; Fabales; Fabaceae. The record is from RNAcentral.
CCCUUGCUUUUACAGUCUUGGAAAAGUUGAGCUCUGCAGCUUACAAAGAGCUCGAAAUCAUUUGGAAUUUCAAAGAGGAUAUGGAACGAAUGAAGAACACCGUCUCCAUGAUAACAGCCGUGCUUCUCGAUGCAGAGGCCAAGGCCAAUAAUCAUCAAGUUAGUAAUUGGUUGGAGAAACUGAAAGAUGUACUUUACGAUGCAGAUGAUUUACUAGAAGAUUUUUCCAUCGAAGCUUUGAGAAGAAAAGUGAUGGCUGGAAACAACAGAGUAAGACGGACGCAAGCUUUCUUCUCAAAAUCAAACAAAAUUGCCUGUGGCCUUAAAUUGGGCUAUCGAAUGAAAGCAAUCCAAAAGAGGCUAGAUGACAUUGCUAAAACUAAGCAUGAUCUGCAGCUGAAUGACCGCCCUAUGGAGAAUCCAAUUGCAUAUAGGGAGCAGAGACAAACUUACUCAUUUGUGAGUAAAGAUGAAGUUAUUGGAAGAGAUGAGGAAAAGAAAUGUAUUAAAAGUUAUCUACUAGAUGACAAUGCAACAAAUAAUGUUUCUAUAAUUCCCAUAGUUGGCAUUGGAGGAUUAGGUAAGACUGCACUUGCUCAACUUGUCUACAAUGAUAAUGAUGUUCAAGGGCAUUUUGAGCUAAAAAUGUGGGUGCAUGUCUCGGAUGAAUUUGAUAUAAAGAAAAUAUCUAGGGAUAUCAUUGGGGAUGAAAAGAACGGUCAAAUGGAGCAAGUACAACAGCAACUUAGGAACAAAAUUGAAGGGAAAAAGUUUUUGCUUGUGUUAGAUGACGUGUGGAAUGAGGAUCAUGAGUUGUGGCUUAAAUUGAAGAGUAUGUUCAUGGAUGGAGGAAAAGGAAGUAUGAUAAUUGUUACAACUCGUAGUCAGACUGUGGCAAAAAUAACGGGCACACAUCCACCCCUUUUCCUAAAAGGUUUGGAUUCACAAAAAUCCCAGGAGCUAUUCUCUCGAGUGGCCUUCUGCGAGUUGAAAGAACAAAAUGAUUUGGAGUUGUUAGCUAUAGGAAUGGACAUUGUUAAGAAAUGUGCUGGCGUUCCCCUUGCCAUAAGAACUAUUGGCAGCCUUUUGUUUGCUCGAAAUUUGGGCCGGAGUGACUGGCUUUAUUUCAAGGAUGCCGAGUUUUCAAAGAUAGAUCAACACAAGGAUAAAAUCUUUGCAAUCCUUAAACUGAGUUAUGAUCAUCUUCCGUCGUUUCUAAAAAAGUGCUUUGCCUAUUGUUCACUGUUUCCAAAAGGUUUUAUGUUUGAAAAGAAGACACUGAUUCAGUUAUGGGUAGCUGAGGGGUUCAUUCAACAAUCAAAUGAUAUUAGAUGUGUAGAAGAUGUUGGUCAUGAGUACUUCAUGAGUUUGCUGUCAAUGUCUUUCUUUCAAGAUGUUUCUAUAGACGAUUGUGGUGGAAUAAGUACCUGUAAAAUGCAUGACAUUAUGCAUGAUCUAGCGCAACUAGUGACCGGGAAUGAAUAUGUCGUGGUUGAAGGAGAAGAACUAAACAUAGGAAACAGAACACGUUAUUUGUCAUCUCGUAGGGGUAUACAACUAUCACCAAUCUCAUCAUCUUCCUACAAGUUAAGGACAUUUCACGUGGUCAGUCCACAAAUGAAUGCAAGCAAUCGUUUUCUUCAGUCAGAUGUUUUUUCCUUCUCAGGCUUAAAGUUCUUGCGUGUGUUGACACUUUGUGGGUUGAAUAUUGAAGAAAUCCCAAAUAGUAUUGAAGAAAUGAAGCAUUUAAGAUAUAUUGAUCUAUCACGGAACAAUGUACUUAAAAAUCUUCCUCCGACCAUUACUAGCCUACUGAACUUGCAAACUCUAAAACUUUCUGAUUGUUCUAAGCUUGAAAUAUUGCCAGAAAAUCUCAAUAGAAGUCUCAGGCAUCUUGAGUUAAAUGGUUGCGAGAGUUUGACAUGUAUGCCAUGUGGGCUAGGACAGUUGACUGAUCUUCAAACACUAACACUUUUUGUACUGAACUCUGGAAGUACAAGUGUAAAUGAGUUGGGUGAGCUAAACAACCUGAGAGGGAGAUUAGAAUUAAAAGGGUUGAAUUUCCUGCGAAAUAAUGCUGAAAAGAUUGAAUCUGCAAAAGUACUUCUUGAGAAGUGACACCUUCAACAAUUGGAAUUGCGAUGGAAUCAUGUCGACGAGGAUCCUUUUGAGGAUGAUCUCUCAUCACCAAACAAAAAUUUGGUGGAAGAUGAGAUCAUUUUUCUAGGCCUGCAGCCACACCACCACUCACUUCGAAAACUAGUUAUAGAUGGGUUUUGUGGCAGCAGGUUACCAGACUGGAUGUGGAAUCUCUCAUCGCUCUUGACUCUUGAGUUCCACAAUUGCAAUAGUUUGACAUCACUGCCCGAAGAAAUGAGUAACCUUGUAUCUUUGCAGAAACUUUGCAUUUCUAACUGCUUAUCAUUAAACUGGAAUAAAAUCUCUAGCAUCCGAGAAGUUAAGAUCAUCAGGCGCGGAACCAGGUAUUGUUGUUUGCUAUUUGCACAAAUAAUAUUACUUUUAUGUUAUUUGCACAUGAUUUUUGUCUUGCAGCUCCUCACCCAAGAUGCCAAGACUAAAUCACACUCACACGUCUCAUAAAAGGACUUUAAAAUUCAAUGCUAUUAAUUUUCUCAUAAAAGGACUUUUAGUACUAUUAUUUUCUUUGAUAGUAUAAAUUUAAUAUUAAUAAUAAUAAUAAUUAAGAAAGCUAAAAUUUUGCACCCUAACGCAGGAUUCUGAAUACGCCACUGAAGUUCAUUCCUGGGAGACCAUCAUUACUCAAGUAUUUUACUUGAGUCAAAAUCUUUCCUCAAUCAUGGAGGUAUUUCUGAAUCCACUCUCUUAUAUCCAUCAACUUUUUAUGACCUUUGAUGAUGGUACAUUUUGCAAUUAUUGAGUUAGCUUUCUCUUGACCUUUAUGCCUAACUUUUGCUUUGAUGUUCUGCAUUUGUUCUGAUAUUCAAUUUUUCAUCACUUGGAUCAUUUUGGUUUUGAUAUUUGGCUGGACUAUACAUACAUCCGUUUAGAUAAAUGGAUUCCGUGAUUUUAUUUAUUAUAACAUCAUGUGUCUAUUUUCUGAUUUGGAAUUUAUUUUUUUGUUUCUCCAAAAACUAGUAGCUUUUAGGUUUGCAGUUAUUGUAGCUACUAUGUUGUUUUUUUGGAAGCUAUUUAAACCUGAAAAAACUAGUUUACCCAAUAUUCCUUUUUUAUAAUGUUACCUCGGUGACAUAGAAAAUGUGUAUCUGAUUAUUAGUAGCAAUAUUCCUUUAUUAUUGCUUUCUCUUUUUUGAUGAUUAAAUGUUGGCCAAUAACUACUGCAGGAACAAGGGAGUUGCUAAACUGUUCUAAGGAGCAAAAUGGUGGUCAAUAAAUUGGUAACACUGUCCAUGAUGACUUCACUGUUUUAUGAAAAUGUGUCCAUUGUUCCUUGGAAGAUCAUCAAUAAUUGGAAGAACUCUAUCUCUCUCCUACAUAUUAUGCACUUUAGAGUACCUCAUAUUUGGUCCCCUUUGGUUCUCUAUGUAUAUUUGUUUUUGUGAUUAAUAUGAUAUUGUAGUUGUUGCAAGAGAUUGGUUUUUCCUUUGGUGUCAACCUAGUUGGGAUCAUUGGUUUGGACAAUGAUGUAUUUUCAUUCCUUCAUUUUUAUAAACAUAAAUCUUACUGGGCUAUGUAAAUUUGGCAUAACUAAACCAGCGAAACAAACUAUCAUUAACAUGUUGUGAACGGAUUGCCAUCAUUGGAUUCAGAUUUAACAGCAUUCAUUUCUUACCAGGAACAAUUAAUAUAUGAAGAAGACACAUUGACCACUAAAACUAUUUGAAAAAUAGCAGCUCAUUUCCAGUGUAAUAGAAGUGGAUACACAUGGGUAGGAACUUUGUCUACAUAUAUAUACAUACAUUACUGUGUUGUAUACGAUACACAUAGAUUCAUGUGCGACGCACAAGUGCGCGGACAAGUUUAUAUAUUCAAAUUUUCAGGACUGUUUUGAGAGAAAAAGGUGUGACACAAACCUAGGGUUGAUCAAAGGGGAUUCUUAGGGUUUCUAAAGCUAGGAGUAAAGUCAUUUUGGGUCACAUUCUAGGGUUAAGAAACAAUCAAAGCCACAUGAAGAGAUUUGGGGUAAGGGCAGAAAUUAAGGUUUAUCAUCAUAAGUUAAUUUCAUGUGAUCUGGAUAUCUCUUUGGAAAGAAACUCUUUGAUAUUAAAUUGGAGAAUUUUUCAGCGUCUGAAGCAGAGUUAUGAAAUGGAGUGGUUUAGAACACAAACACAAAGAGAAAGAGAGAGACACAAAACAAUUUAUACUAGUUCAUCUCACUAACCGAUAGUAGUCUAGUCCCCUUGCACUUUCAAGAGAUUUUCACUAUAAUCACUAAAUAUUACUGAUGUAGUAUCAAAAGUAAGUAUUUUUGUUAUCGUCUCCACAUGGACUAGUGCGAUAUUCUAAGCCGUUCAACAAUCAGUAUCGUUCUGAGCUAAGGAUUCGAUAUUUUUUUGUUUCAUGAACUAUAAAACUACAGACUUGUAAGAGAUAUGAGAGUUAACAAGGAAAUGAUUAUGUUGGGAUUAAACUUCAUCAACCUACAUAUACGUAUUCUAGGAUUAGUGUUGCGGAUUCUAAUUAUCAAUUGAUAUUAUCACAUAUUGCUCAACAACAUCAUUCGUGUCCAAUUGAUGUCGUGAUUUCUAUUGAGUCGUCUAAUCGUCGAUUUCCCAAACUAUUAAACUUUCCAAUAGUCGAUUGUAUCGUUGUAUAGUUGACUUUUCAAACUAUACAAUGAUACGAAAGCUUUAAGUUCCAAUAUUCAAAGUGAUUAUCAAACCUAAGUUCCAUGUCUAGAACCUAAGCAUUGAUAGAAGAUUAUUCUCAACUAGAUUCAAAAUGUAUUUUUCAAUAACAAUUUAAAUCCAUAGGAUAGAAAUGAAAAGCAAGAAUAACAUCAAUAUCUUAAGAUAAUUUAGAAUCACACAACAUCCAAAUCAAAGGGAAUACAUACUAAUAGAGUUAACUACAUUUAAUCCCAACAAAAAGAGUUUAGCUACUCAUUGUCAUGGUAACCUUACAAGGAGAAAAGAAGAGAUGGAAUGGAAGCAAGCCAUGAUGUCUCAAUGAUCUUGUGAAUCCCUUCAAUCCUUGUGCCUCUUGCUCAUUGAAGUUCUCUUUGUGUUUUCCCUAUUUUCUCUCUUCCUAAAGUGGCUUCUGCAUAUAAGUUAAACAAUGAAUGUCGGUCUCCUGCAUAUAAGUUAAGCACAUUGAGGUAUCCUCACAUUUAGGCUAGUUCUAAGUGGUUCACAAUUAAACACGUUAUUGCGAAGAACCAAAUGAAGUAAAAUUUGUGCAAAGUACUUGCUUCAGAUUCAAGUAAACACCUAGAAAAGCAAGAAACUUAUACCUUGGCUUUGUGCAAUUCAAACAAUAUGUAUCAUCACCAUGCACCUGAUGUGGAUUUGCUGGCCUAAGCUCUUAUUAGAAAGAUAUGAGAAAACUUAGUUUGAUCUAAAUUAAAACCAUAAGGUUGCAGGAGCUUGUGGUAUACCAUAGUGCAAAAGGGUUACCUAUGACAUAGUCUUUAAUCAAACAAUGCAAAAGAAGUAUGUACUGCCUAGAAAUCAAAAAGUGACUGACCUGCUGCAACUCGCCUCGCGAGAAUAUGCUCGCUAUGGCGAGCAAUUUGGUGGUCAAUGCAGUUCAAAGGCAUGAAACACUUGCCAUGGCGAGUAUGUGCUCGCCUAGCGAGUCAUGACAGUUUCAGAAAAUGAAUUUUGACUUCUGCUUUUACUUUUGUGGGUGCAAUGUGAUCUAUACCUCUAAAUUGCAAAAAUAAAGCAUGAAAAACUUAAACAAGGUUGGGUUGCCUCCCAACAAGCUCUUGUUUAAUGUCGUUAGCUCGACACCUUUUUUGUUAGGGUGGCCGAAAUGAAACGGAAAACACAUCAUCUUUUGGAAUCAUGCGCUUUGGGAGGAAUUCCAUGAACUUUAGGUACAACUGAUGCGGAGUCCAUAUCCUCCCUAACUUUGGUUUGUUGAACAAGGCACAUAUCUCAUCUAUGACCCGAUCAAUCUCCACCUUGUUCACUUUCUUCCCCUUUCCUUCCAUUGAUUCUUCCUUGCUUAGUAUCCGUUCCUUUUUCUCUGUCCCCUGCAUCACUUCUUCAUUUUCAACAGUUUCGACCUCUUCAGUAUAUGGCCGUUCUUGAGGAAAUUCUUCUUUAUGUGAUGUGUCUAUUUCUUGUGCAGUUUCAAAUUCACCACAUCCUUCCAUUGUUGUGCCUUCCUCAGUUUGAUCAACUCCUUCCUCAACAAUCUCACUGAAUUCCUCAUUCUCAGUUGAAACAUCUUCGUGCUUUUCAUGAAGGAAUCAAUUGCUGAUUUGAACAUCUAUGUCUGAAAGUUGCAACUGGAUUUUCUCCAUUCGGCAUGAUAAAUUUUUCAAUCUUUGGUUAGUAUCUUGCAUGUUUAUCAUGGAUUUCUCCAUGAACAGAUUCAAAAUAUUUUUCAUCUUUGAUAUUUGUUCAUCUUCAGAAAGAUGUUGUUGAUACUGUUGAUAUGAUUCAUACUCGAAUGGAGUGUAGAAGUUGUUAUAACUAUGAUUAGCCAUGAUUUCGUUUAUGUGACAAACCUGAAACGGAAACAACUAACAAGAAACUUUUCUUUGUAUACCAAAGAAGGGUUAGUGCAAACAACUAUAUGUGCUCCCCGAUUUUCGGAUAUCAAACCAUUGAUUGAUUUGAAUCGUCAAUCUUUGAACUCUCAAUUUUUAUUCGUGGGAAGGGAAAAAAUGAGUAAAAACCCUUAUCGAGACUUUGGAUUCGGGGGUUGGUUUCGAAUAGGGAAGGUGUUAAGCACCCUAAACGACUUCGGUACUCCGAAGGAACCGCUUACCUAGAUUAUCUUGUGCUAAAUUCAUUUGGCUUACUUGAAAAAUUAUUAUCUAAAAUCUAAGUGAAAGAAUGGAGGGAGAAGAAAUAUGUUUUUGGUUUUUUUUAUUUGAUUUGGAAGGACAAGUCCUCUACCUACGUACCCUUUUUUGGGAAAGGGAUCAAAACCGACGUAGUUCCACUCAAAAAUUUCUUUGGUGGGUUAGGUUGAUUUUAAGAUUUUUGAAAAUGGGUUUUAAGAAGAGAAAGAGGCCUCACGGCAUGAGAUAAAAGAAAUGAGUGAGGUUGAUUGAUUUUAAAUUUUGAAAAUGAUUGAAGUUGAAUUAAAAUUGAUUGAGAGUUUAAUUAAGAAAAUAAAGGAAAAAUGUUAUUAAGAAAAUGAUUUUGAAGUUUUGCAUAUUUGAUUUUUUGAGAAAAUGAUUUUUCUAAACUAACGGUGAAAACUAACGUAACGUCGUAGAAAAACGAGCGGAAAACGGUAAAUAAAUUGUGGUAGUGUCGGUGCAAGUGUCGGUGCUUGUGUUACCUACAUUAUUACAUCAAUUCUUAAAUACAACCCUAAGGCCUUUAUGCCAAAAUAAAAUGCAAGAAAUAAAACUUACAUCAAUUUCCUAUUUAUACACGCUAAGUCAAUGACAAAAUAAAAUGAUGAGAAAAUUAAAUGUGCAUGCUAUGAUUCAAAACAAAGAUUAAAUCGUUAGUGAGCAUAAGAAAAUAUUGAGAUGAAAUGAGCAAAAAUUAAAAUGAACAUGUGGAAACAAAUAAUAGACAAAAAAUUAAGAGAUGACAUGUAAAACUAGCAAGUAACAAAUAAAAAUAUCAUAUAUAAAGACACAAUAAGCAAGAAUUAAGAAACAAGGAAGGAAUGAGCCAAGAAAAAAAAAAAAGUAAAAUGGAUUUUAAGACUUGGAGGUUAAAAUGAUGGAAAAACAUUUUUUAGAAUUUUGAAGUGUUAAAAUAUCAAGAAAAUGGAGUAAAAGUAUAAAAAAAAUGAAAAGACAAAUAAAAACAAAGUUUGGCUCAGCAGGAUUAAUUCUGGACCGUUGGAUUAAUCCAGAGGUCCAGAUCUAAAUCCCAAGAUCUCAUCACAGCCAUUGGAUCAACGAUCCAAGGGUUAAAAAACAGAAAAACACUUAAAGGAAAGGAGUGCAUCAUCGGCCGUUAGAUCUACGAUCUAACGGCCUAGCAUUGAGCGCACAUGAUGAGGACGUAAGGUGCUAACGCACCAGAUAGAACAUAAUAGGAGCAGCAUAUAAAAGGAAGAAAACAAUGGAAGAAAACAUAACAAACUAAACCACACUUCUCUCUAAAAAAAUUGCUCACACUGCUCUCUAAAAAACAGAGUUGCAGCGCCGCCGCCUACUUCUUCUUCUCCGGCGAGAAAAGUUUUCCGGCGCGGUGGCCGGUGGUGGCACCACCACGCCGGAAUUUCAAACUCCUCUUUUCUAAAAAACUUUUAACAGUUUUGAAAUUCCUUUUUCGUUCUAGACUCAAAUCCGGAUUCACAAUUUCAAAAACAGUUCACAACAGACCUAGAUCUAACAAUGAAGAUUCGACAAAAACUACCUUCGGUUUCAAAACGGAGAAGACUAGAUCUACUACUUCAGGCUCGGAUCUACUUUCUUUUUGCUAAUUCCCUCCGAUCCGGUUCAGGCGCAUUCCUUUUGUGUUGGAGGAGAUUCGGUUUCCUUCUUCUUCUUCAUGUGACUCGGUUCACUACUUCUUUGAAACCGAUCCAGUUUAUAUGCAUGCCUGAGAAUUCCUUAGAAAACAAAUGAAGGUUUGAGUUCAAUGAGUUGUGUAUGUGUUUACGCUUGAGGCUUGGUGAAAGGAUACGAAAAUGAUUGUUAAAAGAAUGGUUCACAUGAUUUUCGAAUUUGAAAUAUUCAUGAAGUUCAUGAUUUUUUUUAUGGUUUUUUUGAGAGUUUGAUCUGAAAAUGUGGAGAGAGGAUAUGAAUUUAGUGUUUGUUACGGAUCUGUGGCAGUUUUGUGAUGUUUGGAUGAUGAUGAUUUAUGUGUUAGUGUGGAGUGAUUCGAGGUUGAUUCUCGAAAUUUUGCUGGAGAAUAUUGUUCAUGUUGUUCUUGACAUGUUCAUCUAUUUUUCAUUGAUUUUUGAUGAUUUGAUCCGAAAAAGUAGAAAGAGAGAAGGGAUUAGGGUUUGUGAACUUUUGUGGCUGCUGAUUGAUGUGUCAGUGUAAUAAUUUCUGUGCAGCCCCCUCUCUCCAAUGAUUGGACAGUGUACUUAUAGUGACAAAAUAGGGUUGGCUCUGGUACACAUCAAAGACCAAAAUACCCCUGUUGGAGACUUGGGGAUAAAGACUUAACAAAUAAAAAUAAUAAGAAACAAAAAACAGAAAAAUAAAAAAUGACAAAUAAAAUAAAAAUAAAAUAUUAAUUAAUAAUAAUAAAAAAAAAAAGUCCCUUCGAAAUCUGACAUGAGGUACUUCAAAGUAUCCUCCCUGCCGAAAUUUUGUCUGAAAUGAUUAAAAGGACGCGAUUUUUAAAAUAUGAUUAAACCUUUUAAAAUGACUUGAUUAUUAUGACUAACAAGACUAUAAAAUGCGCUCAAAAAGUUAUAAAAAUGCAGAUAAAAGUUUUUAAAUGAUUAAAGAAGAAAAACACGAGUUUUAAAUGGUAAAAAAAACAAAUAGAAGAGAAUGUGGACUAUUUUAAAAUAUGGACAAAAAAGAUUUUAAAUGGUCCAAAUUUGGGGUAUGACACUAUACAAAAGAGAAAAUUAUAUACAAAUUAUAUACAAAUACUCAAAACAAUACAAAUUGUCACAAUGCUUCAAAUAUCGAAACGCCAGUCCCCUGCAGCGGCGCCAUUUUGAUGUAGUAUCAAAAGUAAGUAUUUUUGUUAUCAUCUCCACAGGAAUUGGUGCGAUAUUCUAAGCCGUUCAACAAUCGGUAUCGUUCUAAGCUACAGAUUCGACAUUGUUUUGUUUCAUGAACCAUAAAACUACAGACUUGUAAGAGAUAUGAGAGUUAACAGGGAAAUGAUUAUGUUGGGAUUAAACUUCAUCAACCUAGAUAUACGUAUUCUAGGAUUAGUGUUGCGGAUUCUAAUUAUCAAUUGAUAUUAUCAAAUAUUGCUCAACAACAUCAUUCGUGUCCAAAUGAUGUCGUGAUUUCUAUUGAGUCGUCUAAUCGUCGAUUUCCCAAACUAUUAAACUUUCCAAUAGUCGAUUGUAUCGUUGUAUAGUUGAUUUUUCAAAUUAUACAAUGAUACGAAAGCUUUAAGUUCCAAUAUUCAAAGUGAUUAUCAAACCUAAGUUCCAUGUCUAGAACCUAAGCAUUGAUAGAAGAUUAUUCUCAACUAGAUUCAAAAUGUAUUUUCAAUAACAAUUUAAAUCCAUAGGAUAGAAAUGAAAAGCAAGAAUAACAUCAAUAUCUUAAGAUAAUUUAGAAUCACAAAACAUCCAAAUCAAAGGGAAUACAUACUAAUAGAGUUAACUACAUUUAAUCCCAACAAAAAGAGUUUAGCUACUCAUUGUCAUGGUAACCUUACAAGGAGAAAAGAAGAGAUGGAAUGGAAGCAAGCCAUUAUGUCUCAAUGAUCUUGUGAAUCCUUUCAAUCCUUGUGCCCUUUGCUCAUUGAAGUUCUCUCUGUGUUUCCCCUGUUUUCUCUCUUCCUAAAGUGGCUUAUGUUCUGAUUAUUCUGUCUGAAAUGAAGGAAAUGAGCUUUUAUACAUAUGCUGAAAAAGUGACAUUUCGCCUGGCGAAGUUUGGCUCGCCAUGGCGACUUGAGCUUACAUUGCUAGUGGGUUUCUGCCACAUCACUUUGAUGAGAUAAAACCGCUUUUUUUUCGUCUGGCAGAAUUUCUGCUCUAUAUAGCGAAGUACUUUUGUCCUGUUUUUCCAACUCUAUGGAACUGCUCGCCAUUUGGCUCGCCCUUGUCUCGCCUGGCAAAAUAUUUCGCCUGGCAGGAUUGCUACUUGCCAUGGCGAAGUAGCUUUUGCCGCUUUUGUUCUUUUUGGUCCUUGCUUGAUGUUUUGGCACUCAAUUCCGGCACAAAUGGGUAGAGUAAGAUGAAUAAAGCAUAACAGGUCAAUAAUCACUUUUCUCUCGACUUUUCCCUGAAUAACUUGUGAAACAAGUAACAAACGUGCCGUAAAUAAUCAUUUGAAAUACUAUUUUCUGGUACUUAUCAAUUACAAUUGCUCAAGCACACAAGCAAGAGACUUUAAAUGCUCGAUCGUACAAGAAAGAGACUUCCAAUGCUCAAACACACUAGUAAGAGACUUCUACAAUCGAACUUAAUCAAAUAAAAGAUUUUAUGUGAUUUACACUUGAUGUACAAUCAGAGGUGUAAGCAAUACAUAACAUAAUGAACUCUUAAAACUUAAGAAUUUCUAUGAUAUAAAGUUUCUAAGAAAUUCUAAGUACAAAUGCGCUUUUGAUUUUGACAGAGUAAGGACAAUUUCAAAAUAUGCAAAGUCUUGUUAAUUUCUUCAAGUCUUCAGCUCCUUAUACAGAGGGAAAUCCAAGAGAUGUUGGAGAGGUGCCAAUGCAUUACUUUGAGUCCUUGAGAAACUUGAUCAUAGAUGUUGGAAUUUUUCUUGAUUUGGAUAAUGUCGUUUAAAAUUUUUUGAAAAUCCUUGGCAACAAACAGAAUCAUCUAUUUCACUCCAAUUGUCCUUGAAGUUCUUUGUCUAUUUCUGCACGUGAUCAAAAGAGGACAAAAUAUACUAUCUGAGUCUGAUAGUGAUCUCUUCAGGUUCUCUUCAAAUUUCAAAUGCUCUUAUAUAAGUUCUUUUAGUACCAAACUCUAUUUAAUACAUAGAAUUUCAAUUUAUGGUCUUGCACACUUGAACAUAUAUUAGCAUAUCUAGUUCUUCUUUUAAUACCUUGUUAUCAUCAAAACUUCGAAAACAUUGUGCAAAACCCAUUUUGCUUUAACAAAGAUGGUGGAGCGCAUCAGCACUAUAGUAGUAAUGAGGUGGUAGAAAGCUAUUAUCCCUACUUGUACAUCAUUCUGAGAUGUUAUGCAUGCGCUACACCACGUAGCCUAACGAGGUGGUCACAUUGAUAGACUUUGACUUGAACCAUUUAUUAAGCCUUUGAUUCAUGUUCUUAACGAGCUUUAAUAUUGGGUGAUCCAAAUGAUAAUUGGACCGGGUCUUUUAACCUUGUACCGUUAUAAUAUAAUGAAUAUACAAGUUACAAGCACUUAUAUAAGUGACUUUAUAAAUAGACUAUUACUUUUUUCACCCUAUCGAUUUCCCGUGCCCCUUUUUUUUACGAAAAAUGUCCAUGAGAUUUUCAGAUUCUAUAAUCCGAAAUGAGUUUUCCCCUUAUUUUAGGGUGGAAAAAUGAGUUUUUCACCAAUUCGGAUUUUGUAAUCCAAACACCCUAAAAAAUAUGGCACGUUCCUUGCUUUUUUAGCACUAUAGAAUUCCAACACCCCUUUUGUACCAAGAAUUCAAGGGAAAAGUAGUUUGGAUUAAUCCAAACCGUAUCAACACAAAUACUCAACCUGUUUGACAUGUUGUAUCAUUUUUUACUCUGUUUUUUUGGUUGAGUUUAAAAUCGAAAUUCACAACCAUUGAAAUGAGAGAGAUUUUGAUUGUUGCUUAUUUAUAUAAGCAUAUAUAUUUCGAAUUCUAUAAUCCAAACACAUGAGUAUACAAUCUAAAACCCCAUGAGUAUUUUUAUAAAAAAUAAAUCAAUAGGACAUCUGAGAAUGUAAUUAAUAGGUUGUAUAUAAAUGAGUUGGAUACGUUCGACUCGAUUGUUACAAAAUUGGGCAUGACCCAAAAAUUAGUGGGUCAACCCAACCCAUAUUUCAAUACUAUCAUUUAAAAAAUGUUUGAAAAUUGCUUUUCUCCCUUCAAGAAUGUCCUAAUAAUACAUGGGAAAUUCUAAAAUGCCACCAGCGGUAGUUAACUGAUGUUACGUUUUACCCCAAAAACCAGUACAUGCCUACUUCCCUAUUCACUCAUCACCUUACCUAAAAAAAUCCCCCAUUAAUUUUUUUUUGUUGAAACAUUGAUUCCAAAUCUUUGUUGACGGAUUGCUAGCUCGUUUCUACAGACAUUUGACAUCAAAAAUAGGUAUUGCAACGUUAAACUCGUUUCCAUUUGAUUGAGUUUCCAGUUUUUUUUUCCUGACAUGCAGCUUAGCGGUAGUUAACUACCGCUCAGGUUGAAGAACCAGCUGCAGUUAACUAACGCCUAGGACUUAGAAAAAAAAUUCAAAAAAAAGUGCUACUCCCUAUUUUAUUUUUUAUUUUUUUGGUUUGUUUAUGUUCUUAAAUUAUGUAAGAUACAUGUUAAUUAAUUAUUUUAGCAAUUAUAUGUUGUUUAUUUAUAGAUAUGGUUGAGAAUGCGGGUGAUCGAAAACCUAGUGUUGUCGAGAUCAAACCGCCGAAACAUGAAGUUUCCGUUAAGGUUGCAGUUUCCGUUAAAGUGGAGGCUACAAGUGUCAAUGCCGGUGUGUGGAAACUUCGUGACAACGAAGUGGACACGACUCAUUUCUUUUCGAGCCGAGAGACAUGGAAAGAUAAAGAUGAAUUGAUCGGUUGGGUACGUCGACAAGCAAAUAAAGCUGGAUUUACGAUUACCAUUAAAAGAUCUUGUGCAGUUAGCAAUCAUAUAUUGGAGUUGGUUUGUGAAAGUAGUGGCGAGCAGAAAGUAUCGAAGAAAAAAGUGAAGCAUGAAGCAACGAGAUCAAGAAAAUAUGAGUGUUUGUUCAAGGUGCGUGGAUAUGUCGUCAGGGAAGACAAUGCUUGGAAAUUGGCUAUUCUUUAUGGUGUUCACAACCACGAGAUGGUGCCGUUUUUAGCAGGGCACCUUCUUGCGGGAAGAUUAAUGGAGGACGACAAGAAAAUUAUACAUGACUUGACCAAUAGUUCGGUGAAACCAAAAAAUAUUUUGACAAAUUUGAAGAAGAAAAGACAAGAGUCUAUGACAAAUAUCAAGUAAGUCUACAAUGAACGUCAUAAAUUCAAAAAGGCAAAAAGGGGUGACUUAACGGAGAUGCAAUUUCUAAUCUCAAAGACUGUUUUGAUAAUGGAUUCCACGUAUAAAACCAACUUGUACAAGAUGCCACUGUUUUUAAUAGUCGGAGUCACCUCAACCUAUUUGACAUAUUAGGUUGGUUUUGCAUUUAUAACGUUGGAGAAGGAGAAUAACUUUAAUUGGGUUUUACAAAUGUUGCUUAAACUUCUUAAACCAAAUAGUGAUAUGCCUAAGGUGGUAGUGACUGAUUGGGACACGACUUUGGUGAAUGUCUAGCAAAUGUUCUUCCGAAUAGUAAUGCAAUACUUUGUUAUUUCCAUGUCGGGAAAUAUGUUAGAGCAAAAAUCAUCACCGAUUGUAAGUGAGACAAAAGGUUGUCAAAGAGGAUGGGCAAAAGAAGCUUGUCGGCGAGGUGAAGCAUAUUGAGAUAGUUGGAAUUGCAAGAGUUAUAUGCAAGUAAUCUAAUGGAAUUGCAAGAUGCUUGUAAGAAUUAUCCAAAGUUUCUUCCUUAUGUUCAAACUACCAUUUUGGAUACUGUGAAGGACAAAAUAGUGAGAGCAUGGACAGACUUUCUGUUACAUCUUGGGUGCAGGACCACAAAUAGAGUUGAAAGAGCACAUGGUAGAGUGAAGGAAUAUGUGUCCACUUCCAAGGGUGAUUUGGGUACUUGUUGGGAAAAAAUAGAUGAGAUGUUGGUAAUCCAGCUUGGGAAGAUACAAUCAUCGUUUGGUAGGAGCAUUACGGUCUUGGAACAUAGAUACAAAGAUGUCAAUUUCUACUCUGGGUUGGGGGGUAACAUGUCUAGAUAAGCCAUGAACUAUAUUUUUGUGGAAGAAGAGCGUGCUAGCAAAACCUUGUGCAUGAACAAGAAAACUUGUUGUUGUGGUUAAAGGACGUCGUAUGGCCUACCUUAUGCAUGCUUCAUUGCUAUAAAAAUCCGUCACAAAAAGCCUAUUCGAUUGGAUGAGAUACACCCGCAUUGACAUAAGUUAUAUAUGGGUGAAGAAAAAAGUAAUGAAAAAUUGUUUUCGAUCGCGGAGGAGUAGAGUGGUAUUCAAGAACAUCUCAAAAGAGUUCCGUACCAAAUGAAACUAAAAAUCAAAGAGGGGUUGCCAACGUUUCCAGAGACCACAAUGUUGUCACCACCUACAAAAAAGAUACCAACCAAAAGAGCAAAGAAGAAAAAUAAAAUCUACACUGAAAUCGACACGGAAAAAAUCUCCAAUCAACAUGUCCGGGAAACUAAGGUUAGAAUUAAACCUUUAUACUCAGUUGACCAAUUAAAUCGACGUCAAGCGACUAGUAUAAUUUCAAUUUUAGAGAAAUUAAGUGGAAAUAAUACAACGUGAUUUGAUUAUAAUUGUUAAUGUGACUAAUAUUUUUCAAAUAGAGGGAGUUGCGUACAACGCGAGGAAUGGUAAUUUAUUUUAUAAAUGGUUAGUAUAUGUCGCAAUCAACAAAGUCAAAGACUACUCUGAAAAAAAAAAGUCAAAGACAAUUUCCUCAAAAAAAAAAACAACAAAGUCAAAGACAAUUAAAAUUUGAAAGAUUAUAUGGAAUCUGAAAAUCCAAACUAAUUAGAUGUAGACAUGACAAAGCGACCCGCUCCGUUUAGACCAGCCAAAACGAGACAUGACAAAGUGAGCAGCACGAAAUGGACGAGUCAAUUUAAGUGACUAAGUCAAAAGUUUCACCCACCCCGCAUUGGGCGGAUUGACGAGAUGGUAGGCCGGUCUAUCAAACAAAAAAAGAAUUUACUUUUAUUUCAUUUUUGGGUUAACAACGUUUUACCUUUGUAAUAUAGGUCAUUUUCAGUUUCCCUCCGUAAGCAAAAAUUUUAUAUUUCAUCCUUAUAAUUUGAAGAUUAUUUGGUUUUAGAUCCUCAAGACAGUUGACUAAACAUUUAGGCUUAUGUUACGCAUUGAGUCAACAUUUUUUGAUUAUGCGACACGUUGACUAUGUAAUUAUUAAUUUUUUAAAAUUUAUUUUAAAUCAAAAAUAAAAAUAAAUUUAAAAAACAAGAAAAUUUAUUUUCGAAAAUAAUAAAAUUAGAUAAAAAAAUUCUAUAACUUAAUUUUCAAAAUAAAAAAAAUUAGAAAAUAUAUUUCAAAAAUUAGAAAAACAAAUUCGAAAUUAAAAAAAAAAAGUUCAAUUUUUUUUUUCCGAAAUAAAAAAGUUUUUCUAACUUAUCAUCAUAUUUUUCAUGAAAAUAUAUCUUCAAGGUUUUUUAUAUUUUUAACAAUUUGAUUAUUGUAAAAAAUAGGCUAUGUUAUUUAUAAAAAUAAAAUUGGUAGCAAAUCAAUUCGUGGUAAAACAAAAUUUUAUGAUGUAAAAUUGGAUUAUAACAAGUUAUUUGGUCGCUUCACUUUAAAUUAUGUCUAACCCAUUGAUAAAAUAAAAAUAAAAAUUGUAAGUUGAUGAGUUGACGGACUGGCCCGUCCCAUCCUUGCCCCGCCCUACUUUUUCAACAGUCAAGCAGGACGAGCCAACUAGAAGCGGCGAAUUCAAAACUCCAACACAACCCGCCAAAAAUAGUAGGCUAAAUGGGCCGGUUUGGCAGGUUGGACCCGUUUUGCCUUCCGUGUGGCAAUUGCUUUAUUUCCAGUCCAUUCAAAAUCGGGAUGCUUAGUGAGUUAGCAGACUCAAAACGACAAUGAUCGAUGAGUCAGACUCAGAACAAUGAUGAUCUAUGAGUUAGACUGAGAACAAUUUUCUUUUUCUAAUUUUUUUCCAUUAGGUCAUGUAUUUUUUAUUUAAGGCUAAAAUAUGGUUUUAGUCCCUGCAAAUAUGCCUCGUUUUGGUUUUAGUCCCUGUAAAAAAAAAUUGUUUUUGGUCCCUGCAAAGUUUUUGUUUUUUAAAAUAGUCCCUCAGGUACUAUUUUAAAAAACAAAAAAAUUUGCAGGGACCUUUUUAAAAAAUAAAAUAUUUUGCUGGGACCAAAAACUACAAAAUCGGUUCAGUCAUCAUGUGCCACGUAUGCAAAUCAUCACAAAAAUGGGGUCAGGGACUAUUUUAAAAAACAAAAAAUUUUGCAGGGACCAAAAACAAUUGUUUUUUUACAGGGACUAAAACCAAAACGAGACAUAUUUGCAGGGAGUAAAACCAUAUUUUAGCCUUAAAUAAAUACACAAUAUUUUAGGUCCCAAUGUUUCUUAGUUUUGAGGCCCAUCCUCAAUACUUUCCCUUCUCCCUCCAAUUCAACCAAACUCUCGUCCACCUAUUAGGUCAUGUAUUUUUAAAUUGAAACACAAUAUUUUAACAGUAAGCUAUGACAUAAUCAAUGUGUUGCUAUUAGACUCUGAAUCAGUUUGUCAUCUUUUGAAGGAAUGUCACUAUCAGAUUCAAGGUAGUAGAGUUUGUCUUCUUCUGACCACGUGCAGGAAAAAAAGGAAUUUAAGGACAACGAAAAUGUAACGGAUCAUAUUAUUAAGAGCAAAGAAAUUUCGAAUGACUACAAAACGACAUUAACCAUUCGAGGCAACAAAACUCAAGGUGAAAAAAUCUUACAAACUCUUAGAUAUAAUCUUACAAACUUUCAGAUCUAGAAUUUCUUAAGCUUCAGAAGUCAUCUGAACCUUAAUUGCUUACACCUUUGAUUGUACGUGAUGUGUGAAGGUGAAAAAAACACAAGGCGGGAUUGAAUUGGUUGGGUUUUUUCUGAUUUAGAGAGAGAGAGAGAGAGAGAGAGAGAGAGAGAGAGGGGGGGAGGGAGGGAGGUCACAAAGCAUUUAUACUGGUUCCUCCUACAAUCUAAGAGUAGUCCAGUUCCCCUACACUUUCAAGGGACUUCCAAAUGUUCAAGCACACAAGCAAGUGACUUCCAAAUGCUCAGUCACAACUGAAAGAGACUUCUAAGAGUUUACAAAUAAACAAAGUUGUUCUCACACUUGAUAUACAAUCAGAGGUGUAAACAAUUAAAUACAUAUAAGACUUUAUGAAAUUAUAAUUUCUAACAUAUGAACUUAGUAAGAAAUUCUUAAGUGUUCUAUGUGCUUUUGAAUUUAACAGAGUAAGGGCACAAUUUAAAAUAGCAGAGUCAUGUUAUUAUUCUUCAAGUCUUCAACUCCUUAUAUAGGCAAGGAUUUGAGAGACGAUGCCAGCGCAUUGAGAGUCGUUGAGAAGUUUCAAAUCAAGGACGUUAGGUCUUUGCCUGAUAAGGAUAAUGUCGUGGAUUAUUCAUUUGAAAUUCCUUUUGCUGCAACUAGAAUUAUCUGUUCGUUCUCUUUGUACUUGAAGUUCUUUGUUUUUUUACACGUGGUCAGAGGAAGACAAACUGUACUUUCAGAGUCUUGAUAAAGACUGCUACAUAAGAGGACAAAUUUGACGAGGAUUCUAGGUCCCUAAGGGUCUUCUAUUCUUCAGAGUUUGGAGGUUUUCAGAGUCUGAUGUAGAUCUUUAACUUCUGAGUGUUUUCCUUUCUAUUGAUCCAAGGUGUUGACUUCUGGUUGACAUUUCUUUAGAUCUUCUACCAUAGUCUUUUGGCUUCUCUUUGUGCUUCUGAUGCUCUUAUACAUGUUCAGACCUUGUUAAAUUUUAAUAUAUGGUCCUGCACACUUGAACAUAUAUUAACAUAUCCAGUUGUUUUUCAAUACUUUGUUAUCAUCAAUACUUCAAAGGAUUUGUGUUUGAUUUUAAUAUGUUGCUUAAUUAUAUGUUUCAGACUCUGAAAAUGACUAUGUUCUGUUUUUACAAACACUUAAAAAUAGAUUUGAAAAAAGCAAUAUAAUUCAACCCCUUUUCUUAUGUUUUUCUCACUUUUAAAUUUAGAGUUUUUCUAUUUACACCCCAUGUUUUUCUGGUUACACCUAAAUUUUCUUAAUUUUUUUUAUAAUACCAAAAUUGCCCUUUAUAUAAAUUUUCUUAAAACCCUAAUUUUAUUCAUUGUCAGUGAGUUUCACCCUCUUUUACCCCACAAAGCGAUUGAUCAAACAAUUUGAUGUUCAAUAUCAAUCUCCAUGAAAAUUAAAGAGUGAAUCAAAAUAUUUUUCAUCCAUACUCAAUUGGAUAUAAGUAAGUGAAUUUCUUCUUCUAUUUGCUAGUUUCAAUUCUUUUCCUUCAACUGCAAUGAUGCACUGUACGAUUACGGUUUUAAUUUACAUUGGCAAGGUUAACUUAAAUUCAGUUUAAGUAGGUUCAUGUAAACUAAGUUUACAUGAACCUACUUAAACUGAGUUUACAUAAACCUACUUAAAUUGAGUUAACAUGAACUUACUUAAACUGAGUUUACAUGAACCUACUUAAACUGAGUUUACAUGAACCUACUUAAACUGAGUUUAGAAAAUCGCAGAACUCGCAGAACAAGGAAAACACAAAAUCAGAACUGAGAACCCAUAACAAGAAAAACACAAUCGAUUGAAGAACAACACUUGCUAACCUGAUUUGCUUCGAAUUUUCUUUGAAAUCAUGAAUGGACGUGAGAAAGUAUGGUUUUGAAAAUCUUCGCAGAACACAAUGAAUCGAUUGGAGAAUUAUGGUUUUGGAAGAAAGGUUUUGGGGUGUAACCAAAAAAGAAGGAAUAGGCUUUUUGAAAAUCAAAUUUUAUGAAAGGGUAAUCUUGUCAUUUUAGGGUGCAACCAUGAUUAACUAGGGUGCAAGUAGAAAAACUCUUAAAUUUAUCCUUUGGAUAAAUAAAACGUUAAUUUAUUCUAGUUUUUCAAUGUGAACAUCAAUUACUUAAAGAAUGAACAUUAAUUGUUUUAUUUUUGGUCAAGAAAAAGAACUUUAAUUUAUUCUUGCAUUUCAAUGUGAACAUCAAUUACUUAACAAUAGAUUAUAUGUCCAAUUGACCAAUUAAAUCGCCAUCACGUUAUAUUUUCAGAGAAAUUAAGUUGGAAAGAUACGACAUGAUUUGAUCAUAAUUGUUAAUGUCACUGACUUCUAGAACUGUUAAUGUCACUAAUAUUUUUAAAACUGAGGGAGUUGCGUACAAAAGCGUGAGAGGGUAAUUCUUUAUGAUUCAUUUCCAGUCCAUUCAAAAUAGGAUUCUAAACACAAGCUUAGAAUUUGACUCAUCUGAUUUUUCACUUUUCAAUACAAAGCACUAAACUACAGCUUUUCAUCCUUUUUCUAGAUUCAGAUUUCGAAACCAGGUAAUCUCUCGUUCUCUUGUAUUCUUAUGAUAAUUAGAAGAUUCAACUUGCAACCUGUAUUUACUAUUUAGAAUCAAAAUUUUGCUUGCUCAUUUCCAACACACAUACUGCAAUCAAAAUUUCUUUAUGCAAUUCUAAAUUAGGUUACUUAAAUAGUUUUUAUUCUUGUUCGAAUCUGCAAAAUAGUACAAAUCCUGUUCUUUUUAUGUGUCGGUUUAAAAAACUUUUUUAUCCCCUAAGUUAAUAUUCCAUCCAGUCUUAAAUGUUAGGAAAAAAAAAAAAACCACACAUAUUAAGAAAGUGGACUAACAAUAUUGAAGUCAUCAUAAAACAUUAUAACUUUCCAAUUUUGCCUUUAUCUUCGGAUUUUAUAUUUAAGUCAUGAACGUGACUUUUGAACUCAACAUGGGAAUGUGAAACAGAUUGGAAAUAAAUAAAUGAGGGUAAAAUUGAAAUAGUGACAUUUAAUAGGAUGAUUUAAUUAAACUUUUCAUUACAUUUGAGUCCACCAAUUUUUUUAUUUUGUUUCUUACAUUCGAGAUCGGAGGGAGUAGUUGUGUCCGGUUCGGUCUGAUAUUUGGAUCGGUUGUGCAGUUGAAUCGGUCAGAUCCGGCGUGACUCGCUAAAACUCGGAAUAAAUUGGUGGCUUGGCCGGUUUAGCGAACCGGACCAGGUCAAUACACAACUUGAUUUCAAUUGAUAAAAAAAACCAGAAAGUGAGAAAAGUGAGAAAGAUUAUCGUACAGAAGAGAAGAUCUCACGAUGGAAGGGAGGAAGAUGUGAGAAGGAAAGAACAAGGAUUGAAGAUCAAAUAUGCUAUGUGUUUUUUUAUUUGAGAUCUACUUUUUAGAUGAAUGCUGCAGUACAAGUCACUAAAGUGUAGUACAAUACAUAUCUGUAGUACAAUAGACUUGUGUAUAUAUUACUAAUUAUACUCUCAUUCACAAAUCAAUAGAAAAUCCAUUCAUUUCUCUUAUUUCAUAUUAGGUUUCAAUUUGCUAACUGCAUUGACUGAGUGAUUUUUAUUCCAUUAAUUAAAAAUAGGAGACCAUUUAAAAAAUUGAUCACUUACGUGACCCCAAGAUUAGUUUUACUCAUGCUUUUGUUAACUUCAUUUGCCAAAGGAUGGAAGCCCUUGCUGUUACAAUCUUGGAAAAGUUGAGCUCUGCAGCUUACAAAGAGCUCGGAAUCAUUUGGAAUUUCAAAGAGGAUAUGGAACGAAUGAAGAACACAGUCUCCAUGAUAAAAGCCGUGCUUCUCGAUGCAGAGUCCAAGGCCAAUAAUCAUCAAGUUAGUAAUUGGUUGGAGAAGCUGAAAGAUGUACUUUAUGAUGCAGAUGAUUUACUAGAUGAUUUUUCCAUUGAAGCUUUGAGAAGAAAAGUAAUGGCUGGAAACAACAGAGUAAGACGUACAAAAGCUUUCUUCUCAAAAUCAAACAAAAUUGCCCAUGGCCUUAAAUUGGGCCGUCGAAUGAAAGCAAUCCAAAAGAGGCUAGAUGACAUUGCUAACAAUAAGCAUGCACUGCAACUGAAUGACCGCCCUAUGGAGAAUCCAAUUGUAUAUAGGGAACAGAGACAAACUUACUCUUUCGUAAGUACAGAUGAAGUUAUUGGAAGAAAUGAGGAAAAGAAAUGUAUUAAAAGUUAUCUACUAGAUGACAAUGCAACAAAUAAUGUUUCUAUAGUUCCCAUAGUUGGCAUUGGAGGAUUAGGUAAGACUGCACUUGCUCAACUAGUCUACAAUGAUAAUGAUGUUCAAAAGCAUUUUGAGCUAAAAAUGUGGGUGUAUGUCUCGGAUGAAUUUGAUUUGAAGAAAAUAUCUCGGGAUAUCAUUGGGGAUGAAAAGAAUAGUCAAAUGGAGCAAGUACAACAACAACUUAGAAACAAAAUUGAAGGGAAAAAGUUUUUGCUUGUGUUAGAUGACGUGUGGAAUGAGGAUCAUGAGUUGUGGCUUAAAUUGAAGAGCAUGUUCAUGGAAGGUGGAAAAGGAAGUAUGAUAAUUGUUACAACGCGUAGUCAGACUGUGGCAAAAAUAACAGGCACACAUCCACCCCUUUUCCUAAAAGGUUUGGAUUCACAAAAAUUCCAGGAGCUAUUCUCUCGAGUGGCUUUCGGCGAGUUGAAAGAACAAAAUGAUUUGGAGUUGUUAGCUAUAGGAAUGGACAUUGUUAAGAAAUGUGCUGGCAUUCCCCUUGCCAUAAGAACUAUUGGCAGCCUUUUGUUUUCUCGAAAUUUGGGCCGGAGUGACUGGCUUUAUUUCAAGGAUGCCGAGUUUUCAAAGAUAGAUCAACACAAGGAUAAAAUCUUUGCAAUCCUUAAACUGAGUUAUGAUCAUCUUCCAUCGUUUCUAAAAAAGUGCUUUGCCUAUUGUUCACUGUUUCCAAAAGGUUUUAUGUUUGAAAAGAAGACACUCAUUCAGUUAUGGGUAGCUGAGGGGUUCGUUCAACAAUCAAAUGAUAUUAGAUGUGUAGAAGAUAUUGGUCAUGAGUACUUCAUGAGUUUGCUGUCAAUGUCUUUCUUUCAAGAUGUUACUAUAGACGAUUGUGAUGGAAUAAGCACCUGUAAAAUGCAUGACAUUAUGUAUGAUCUAGCGCAACUAGUGACCGAGAAUGAAUAUGUCGUGGUUGAAGGAGAAGAACUAAACAUAGGAAACAGAACACGUUAUUUGUCAUCUCGUAGGGGUAUACAACUAUCACUAACAUCAUCAUCUUCCUACAAGUUAAGGACAUUUCAUGUGGUCGGUCCACAAUCAAAUGCAAGCAAUCGUUUGCUUCAGUCAGAUGAUUUUUCCUUCUCAGGCUUAAAGUUCUUGCGUGUGUUGACACUUUGUGGGUUGAAUAUUGAAGAAAUCCCAAAUAGUAUUGAAGAAAUGAAGCAUUUAAGAUAUAUUGAUCUAUCACGGAACAAUGUACUUAAAAAUCUUCCUCCGACCAUUACUAGCCUACUGAACUUGCAAACUCUAAAACUUUCUGAUUGUUCUAAGCUUGAAAUAUUGCCAGAAAAUCUCAAUAGAAGUCUCAGGCAUCUUGAGUUAAAUGGUUGCGAGAGUUUGACAUGUAUGCCACGUGGGCUAGGACAGUUGACUGAUCUUCAAACACUAACACUUUUUGUACUGAACUCUGGAAGUACAAGUGUAAAUGAGUUGGGUGAGCUAAACAACCUGAGAGGGAGAUUAGAAUUAAAAGGGUUGAAGUUCCUGCGAAAUAAUGCUGCAGAGAUUGAAUCUGCAAAAGUACUUGUUGAGAAGCGACACCUUCAACAAUUGGAAUUGCGAUGGAAUCAUGUCGACGAGGAUCCUUUUGAGGAUGAUCCUUUUGGAGUUUGGUAUGUUAAACUAUCGCAAUUACCAUACAACAAUUCUGUGGAAGAUGAGAUCAUUUUACAAGGCCUGCAGCCACACCACCAUUCACUUCGAAAACUAGUUAUAGAUGGGUUUUGCGGCAAAAAGUUACCAGACUGGAUAUGUAAUCUCUCAUCGCUCUUGACUCUUGAGUUCCACAAUUGCAGUAGUUUGACAUCACCGCCUCCUGAACAAAUGUGUAACCUUGUAUCUUUGCGGACACUUCGCAUUUCAAAUUGCCCAUUAUUAAAAUUGAGUAAUAUAUCUGGCAUCCGAGCAAUCAAGAUCAUCAGGGACGGAACCAGGUAUUGUUGUUUGCACCUGCACACCAUGGGUUUUUGCUGUUUGCACCUGCACACCAUGGGUUUUUGCUAUUUGCACAAAUAAUAUUACUUUUAUGUUAUUUGCACAUGAUUUUUGUUUUGCACCUCCUCACCAAAGAGGCCAAGACUAAAUCACACUCACGCUCUCAUAUUGACUGGUGACAUUUGGCUUUUAAAGUUCAAUCCUAUUAAUUUUCUCAUAAAAGGACUUUUAGUGCCAUAACAAAUCAUAUGCAUUUGUUAUUCACUUUGGAAAACAAAUAUUAAUCUAUCCGUCAUAAAAUAACUGAGUUAUUUAUAAAAAAAAAAUUGUCCUAAAGACACUUAAAUUAAUAUUAAUUUUAUCACUUUUUAUUCAAUAUAUUAUACUAAAAAAAGAUAUGACAUACAUCCACUGAUGUUUUCUACGUCAAUUGAUGAAUAUGACAACACAUUUGUUUUCAACCAUAAAAAAUGAUGUGACAACAUAUCAUUAAAUGCAUGUAUAAAAUCACGUUACAUAUAUGCAUGUAUUUAUGUAUGUAUAAAUUUAAUAUUAAUAAUAAUACUAAUUAUAAAGUUAAAAUUUUGCAACCGUAAUGCAGGGUUCGGGAUACGCCAAUGAAAUUCAUUCCUGGGAGUCCAUCAUUACUCAAGUAUUUUUCUUGAGUCAAAAUCUUUCAUCAAUCAUGGAGGUAUUUCUGAAUCCACUCUCUUAUAUCCAUCAAUUUUUUAUGACAUUUUUUAUGGUACAUUUUGCUAUUAUUGAGUUAACUUUCUCUUGACCUUUAUGCCUAACUUUUGUUUUGAUAUUCAAUUUUUCAUCACUUGGAUCAUUUUGGUUUUGAUAUUUGGCUAGACGAUACAUACAUCUGUUUAGAUAAAUGGAUUCCUUGAUUUUAUUUAGGCUUUUAUGUGUUUAGUUCUUGUAAAUAGGAGUUAUUUAAAAAAUGGUCAUUGUAUUAUUUGAUAAUGACUUAAAAAUGCCCCUGUAAUUAGUGUAAUAGAAGUGACUUAAAAACGUUUAUUUACAGGGAGCUUCUACGGUACACCUCACAAAUUGAGGUGUACCGAUACUCUGUUUCAUAAAUUUAUAAAUUAAUGAUCAUUUUAUGAGAUAAGUUGUUAUUUGUCAUUAUUUAUAUUUUAGAAAACACCAUCUCAGGAGAAAAAAAACAUCAUUUCAUUGUUUAUAUGAAUUAUAUUAAAUUUUUAACAUUUUCUCAUAAAAAAUAAUCAAUAUUCUUCAUUAUGAGCAAUAAAAAUUCAAAAAAAGUAAAUUUUAUUUCAUCGACGCUUUUGGUAAAUAAGAUUUAAUUAUUAUAAUUGUCAAUGAUAGAAAAUAAUUAUUUUUUCUUCAAAAAACAAUCAAUUUAAUUAUUAAUUUAAUGUUUGGUGUACCGGUACACUCAAAAUGUUGGGUGUACCAUAGAAUUUGCCUUAUUUACAAGGUAAUAUUCUUGGUGGCCAUUUAAUGACUGCCACGUCACUGUAACUACAAACGUGAAAUUACAAAAAUGCCCUUGUAAUUAGUGAUCUGGCGGUGAUUAAGUGGGGGAGAGGGACGAAAUUUUAAGUGAUUAAAUUUUGUGUAUCUUAUUAUUAUAAGCAAUAUUCUUUAUUAUUAUAAUUAAGCAAUAUUUAGUGACCCCUUGUAAAUAACGUUACUUCGGUGACAUAGAAAAUGUGUAUCUUAUUAUUCUAAGCAAUAUUCUUUAGGUUAAACUUCACUUUUCGCCCUAUAAGUUUUAAAAUGUUGCGAUUUUGGCCCCCUAUUAAAAAAAGUAGCAAAAGUGACCCCAUAUGUUUAGGGAAAUAUGCUCUUUUGACCUCUUAACAUAAGGGAAAUAUGCUUUUUGACCCCUUAUCUUUACAAAAAGUUGCGAUUAUUGCCCCUUUUUUGGGACACGUGGCGUCUUCUCAGCAAUUUUAGGAUGAAAGGGGCCAAAAUUGCCAUUUUUUUUAAUAGGGGGCCAAAAUCACUAUUUUAAAACAUAGAGGGCGAAAAGUGCACUUUAGCCUAUUCUUUAUUAUUGCUUUCUCUUUUUUGAUGAUUAAAUGGUGGCCAAUAACUACUGCAGGAACAAGGCAGUUGCUAAACUGUUCCAAGGAGCAAAAUGGUGGUCAAUAAAUUGGUAACUCUUUCACAUCAUCCAUGACUUUGGUAAUCUCACCAAACGUACUUUGGGUAACACUAUCCAUGACUUCACUGUUUUCUGAAAAUGUGUCAAUUGUUCCUUGGAAGAUCAUCAAUCAUUGGAUGAACUCUAUCUCUCUCACUAAGAUUAUGCAUUCUAGAGUACCUCAUAUUAGGUGCAUGGGAUUUGUUAACUUCUUGUAUCAGUGAAGACCUCUUCUGUAAUAGGAAUAUUAUUCCUAGUUAUAGGUUUUGUUGGCUUUUUCCGGAGUUUGAUUUGGUGCCCUUUGGUUCUUUAUGUAUUUUUUUUUUUUGUGAUUAAUACGAUAUUGUAGUUGUUGCAAGAGAUUUGUUUUUCCUUUGGUGUCAACAUAUAGUUGGGAUCAUUGGUUUGGAAAAUGAUGCAUUUACAUUCCUUCAUUUUUGUAAACAUAAAUCUUGGUGGGCUAUGUAAAUUUGAAAUAACUAAACCAACGAAACAAACAAUCAUUAACAUGUUGUGAACGGAUUACCAUCAUUGGAUUCAGAUUUCACAGCAUUCAUUUCUUACCAGGAACAAUUAAUAUCUGAAGAAGACACAUUGACCACUAAAACUAUUUGAAAAAUAGCAGCUCAUUUUCAGUGUAAUGGAAGUGGAUACACAUGGGUAGGAACUUUGUCUACAUAUACAUUGUUUUGUAAAUGCCUUAAAAUCUCGUUUUUGAAAGUGUUCAGGGUUUGCCUCCUGCACGAUGCGCAUGUAGGCGUUUGUUAAGUUGCAUAUUACUGUGCUAUAUGUGAUACACAUAGAUUCAUGUGUGACGGGGUGCAGAUCCUCUCCAUUUUAUGAGGAAAUGACAAUCUCAAUUUCCAAUCAUAAAAACAAGACAUGUGGAAGGUAAGAUAUCAAUGGCUCUAAUUUAUUCCUCACACAUAAUCCUAUUAAUUAUUUAUUUCAGAAAUAAAAAAAUAUGUAAUCCUCCUCUCGCAAAACUUCAGAUACAUUGUACAAAAUCCAUUUUGGUUCAACAAAGAUGGUGGAGCACAUCAGCGCUCUAGUAGGAACGAGGUGGUAGAAAGUUUUUAUCCUAACUUAUAUCAUUUCGAGAUGAUAUGCAUGCGCUACACCAUGUAGCCUAAAGAGACAGUCACAUUGAUAUACUUUGACUUGAAUCAUGUUUUUAACGAGCUUUGUUAUUGGGUGAUCCAAAGGAUAAUUGGGUCGGGUCUUUUAAGCUUGUACCAUUACAAUAUAAUGAAUAUAUAAGUUACUAUCACUUAUAUAAGUGACUUUAUAUAUAGACUAUUACUUUUUACGCCCUAUCAUUUCCUACACACCUUUUUUUUUUACGAAAAAAUGUCCAUGAGAUUUUCGGAUUCUAUAAUUUGAAAUGAGUUUUCCCCCUGUUUUGGGGUGGAAAAAUGAGUUUUUUACUAAUUCGGAUUUUAUAAUCCAAACACCCUAAAAAAUAUGGCAUGUUCUUUUGCUUUUUUUAGCACUAAAGAAUUCGAACACCCCCUAAACACCCCUUUUGUGCCGAGAAUUCAGGGGAAAAACAGUUCAGAUUAAUCCAAACCGUAUCAGCACAAAUACUCAACCUGUUUGUAACACUGACAACCAGUUUAAGGACCAUACUAAUCUUCCUAAACCCAUCCUUGUGUUUUAGUCUGUUUUGGAUUAUAUAAUCCGAAAUGUGUCAAAACUCCAUAAAAAGUCAACAUUUGAAAAAAAGAUCGAACAUAUUUGCUUGCAUGCAGAGGGAAUCAGGACUAACCUUCACUUUAUUGUUUGAUUAACCUUCAAAUAUGAUGAUUUUGAGCAAAAACAUUCUAAGAUUGGACCAAUUUGUGUGGUUUGGAUUUUAAGAUAAGGGAGAGAGAAAGUAAAAAGUAAAAAGUAAAACCGUAAAAUAGGGAGAGUGACUGAACUUGAGUUUAUAUAUCAAAAUGGUUCGGAUUAUAUAAUUUAAAGGACAUUUUUGGAAUUAAAAUAGGGCACAUGAGUUCUUCAUAAUGUGAGAAAAGUAAUAGUCUUUAUUUUUUUUUUAAUAGUACAAUAAAAAUUAAUUAUUAUCAUUUUUGACAAACACCGAAAAAUAUAAAUGACAUAAGUCGUAAAAUGUCUACUGCAUAAUUGAAUAAGACGUCCAUAUAUCUAUUGUUUGCAUAGCCAUCCAUUAAAUCAAUAUCCAUAAAAUAUAUCAUAUAGAUAUUCAUGCAAAAUUAUAGAGUAUUUUUCAUAUAUCACAAUUUACAAAUCGAAACCUUCAAGAUAAUUUCUAUAAAAGUGUAGUACGACGUAGCAAAAUAAUUAUGAGCUAAAAACUUCAAAACAAAUAACAAAAUAGAUUAUAAAAUGGGUAGGGAUAUUUUAACCUUUAAUUCCAAUUUUAGAUAAUGGCUUAGAUUAAUUGAUAUUGUAGACUUUAAUUCUAUUUUCUAUUGUAGUUAACACUUAUCACCACAAAAUAACAAUUAAUCUAAGUCAUCAACCAAAAUUGGAAUUAAAGGUCAAGAUUUUGAGUAAGAUAUUGUACUUACUCUUGGAGUCAAAAUAUUCCCACCCUUAUAAAAUAUAUAAUUUAUUGGUCUAAAAUCUCAUACGUUUGAUUAUGCAUAUGAUAUUUUUUUUUAGGAAUUGAUUAUAAAUAGGGUUAAAUAAGUAAAUGGUCUCUAUAAAUAUUCAGAAUUUUAUUUUUAAUUCUUAUAAAAUAAAAUCAUAUUUUUUAGUUCAUGUGACAUUUUUCUUUAGCAUUUUAGGGACCGAAAAUGUUGACGUAAAAUUUUUAUAGAGAUUAAAAAUGUUGAUGGAAAAUUUACAGAGACUAAAAAUGUUGACGAAAUUUUUUACAAGGACUAAAAAGUGCGAUUUUAUUUUGUAAGGACUAAAAAUGAAAUUCUAGAUAUUUAUAGGAACCAUUAACUUAAUUAACCCUUAUGUACAAGAUUGUCUCUCUUUUAAUUUUGGAUCGAAUGACGUAAUAAAUAGUUGUUAGAUUAAUAUUUAUAUUUACAUUUACAUGUUUUUUUGAAGGAAUAAAUUCAUUGCAUUUCAUUAGCUAAAAUAUGCCAAAUACAUGUACGUACAUCAUUAAUAAUACGGAGCUAGGAUUAGACAGGGUUGUCUCAACUAACUCGUGAUCUACUUGCUUGCCUCUUGCUGAACUCAACAUGAGAGUUCUGAAAUUUAUCUACUAACAGCUGUUUACAAGCAAUAAUAAUACACCCAAAUUCAAUACUAUCAUCUAAACUAUACUAUUGACACAAUCAACAACUUUUUUACAAUCAAGUACCCACUCGUAGUCAUGUUGAUUUAGUGCACCAUGCUAGAUGUCACCUAAAUCACGCGUUAGUUAUGUGUUGAAAUUUAUUGCUUCAAGGAAAUUUCUUGCUCCUUAUUUUCCCAUAUUUGACCGGAGUUGACUUCACUUUUCUUUUUUCUCGUAAUGAUUUAUUAUCUCGCUGGCCACGCUACAAUACAAUACAACUCUUGAUUCUGUUUCUUAGAUUCCUAUUUCUAAACAAGGUAAUCUCUCUCUCUCUCUCUGAAAUUUUUGAAUUUUAACACUUCCAAUGCAUGUAGUGACAUCAAAUUUUCUUCAUUCCUGUUACAUUUUGGUUGCUUAAUUAAUUAUGAGAAAAUUAUUUUUGUGUCUAUUUAUGAAAAACUUGUAAGUUGUAGUUGGUUCAACUUCUAGAAGGAUCAAAAUUGAUCAUGAAGGUAUAGAAUUGAUUCUCACAUGUGUAAUUGCAUCUGAGUAAAAUUGAUUUUGUCUUAAAUUGAUUCUAUUUGUACCUAUAAUUUGUAACUUUUGAUUUUAAAAUUGAUUUUUACACACAAAUUUAUAGUUCAACACACUUUUACAUAAAUGUCACAAAACAUGCAUGGUGUCAUUUGAAUUUUUGUUAUUUUGAUGUUCAAAUGACAUAAUUGAUUAAGGGCAUAUUUGAAUUGGCUUUUUUCAGCUUGUCUACUAGCAUAAGUUUGAUGGGGUUGUUUGGUAGAAUUUUGGAAAACAGCUUUUCAUAAGCUGUUUUUAAGUUAUUUUCAUAAGUUCUUCAAAAUAACUUAUAAAAACAACUUAUAGCAUAUGCAAGAGUCACUGUGUUUGGAUUUGUUAUCAAGAGUGUCACUUACAUUACUCAAUGAGUGUCAAAUUUAUCCUUGACAUUACCAAACUUAAUGUUGUUCUAGCACCUAUGUCUACCAACACAGAGGAAAAUUUGAUUAAAGUUUUGCAGUUUUUGUGAUCAUGUUUACAGCUUAUAAUUUCAAGGUCCAAUAUGUGUAUUUACAACUUAACUCUAAUCCUAAAGUAUGUGAAGAAAAUUGUGAAUAGUCUCUAAAAUAUAUGAAAAACUUGUAGGAUUAUGUUCCAAACCAGCGCUUCUCUUAAUAUCCCAACCUUUAAGUAUGUAGGGGCUUCAAAGCUUGACUAACAAGCGAGAAAUUUGACUUUGAGAAAGUUUGUUCCUUUCCCAACAGGAGGAUGUAUAAAUCUCCAAGUCAGGCGCGGCAGCGCACUUUUCCAUUGCUUUCUCUAAUAGGAGCUCGAAAACCGGUACUUGUCUAGGCUGAGAAGUUUCAUAUUCAUGUCACGGUCUUUUAAAAGUAUAUGAUAUCAAUCCAUAACAUUUUAGUAGACAUAUUCAAACUAAAUUUUAUAUGCUUGAGACUACUUACCAUUUUCAUUAUUGAGUAGGAUAGACAGUGAUGUAUGAGGAACUAAAUUAAGGGUUUGUUGUUAAUUAUUCUUUUUAUAAUCUGCUAAUUAGAGAGUGAUAUUUGAGGAGCUAAGUUCAGGGUUUAUUGUUAAUUAUUCUUUUUAUAAUCUUCUUAUUCGAGAGUGAUAUUUGAGGAGCUAACCUCGGGGCUUAUUGUUAAUUAUUCUUUUUAUAAUCUGCUUACAAGUCUAUGUGAUAAAAACAUUAAAUCAUUUGUGUUUGCUAGCUGCACUAUUUUAUCGAGGAACAAAGCACAAACUUAGAGUUUGAUGGAGAUUGGAUAGUAUAGAUUAUAACCUUUUAUUGAAUAGGAUUCAAUGCACAAACUUAGAGUUUGAGUCAUCUGAUUUUCAUCUAAUGGUUUCAGGUUGCUAACUGCUGAUUCUUUCAAUUCUCAACGCAAAGAAUUCCAAUAAAGCUAUUAAUUCUGUUUCUUGAUUCAGAUUUCGAAACCAGGUAAUUCUAUCUCUAUAUUUGUUGCAAUUAAAACUCAUGUAGUCACUGCAGUCAGCUAAUUAGGACCAGAUGGAGAUUCAAACAAUUUGCAUUAUUCUGACUCUAGUGAAUAUGAUUCAAAAUGUAAACUUUGAGUUUGAGACAUCUGUUUUUGAUACAAUGGUUUCAUUUUGUUAACUGCAGUGACUGUGUGAUUUUUUUUUUUUUUUUUGACCGAAGACUGUGUGAUUUUUAAACUAUAUCAAAUCCAUAUAAUCUUUCUCCAUCACUGAGUAUUCUAUUAAUUAAAAAGAAGAAACCAUUUAAAUCCAUUAUACACAUGUUUGUGAAUGCGUGAUUAGUUUUACUCAUGCUUGUGUUAACUUCAUUUGCCAAAGGAUGGAAGCCCUUGCUGUUACAGUCUUGGAAAAGUUGAGUUCUGCAGCUUACAAAGAGCUUGAAAUCAUUUGGAAUCUCAAAGAGGAUAUCGAACGAAUGAAGAACACAGUCUCCAUGAUAAAAGCUGUUCUCCUCGAUGCAGAGGCCAAGGCCAAUAACCAUCAAGUUAGUAAUUGGUUGGAGGAGCUGAAAGAUGUACUUUAUGAUGCAGAUGAUUUACUAGAUGAUUUUUCUGUUGAAAAUUUGAGA